GAUGCCUACGGGGGGCAGCAGUGGGGAAUAUUGGGCAAUGGGCGCAAGCCUGACCCAGCAACGCCGCGUGAAGGAAGAAGGCCCUCGGGUUGUAAACUUCUUUUGUCAGGGACGAAACAAAUGACGGUACCUGACGAAUAAGCCACGGCUAACUACGUGCCAGCAGCCGCGGUAAUACGUAGGUGGCAAGCGUUAUCCGGAUUUACUGGGUGUAAAUGGCGUGUAGGCGGGAGAGCAAGUCUGAUGUGAAAUUC
Molecule: ribosomal RNA, 254 nt
Filed under: uncultured bacterium
Lineage: Bacteria
Description: partial 16S ribosomal RNA
Rfam family: Bacterial small subunit ribosomal RNA
Source: RNAcentral